RNAcentral lists this non-coding RNA (427 nucleotides) under Xenopus laevis (African clawed frog). RNAcentral describes it as "Eukaryotic large subunit ribosomal RNA". It matches the Rfam family "Eukaryotic large subunit ribosomal RNA", at positions 1557 to 1884 of the family's 3401-position model. Lineage: Eukaryota; Metazoa; Chordata; Amphibia; Anura; Pipidae. The record is from Rfam by way of RNAcentral.
GGAGAUGGUCAAAAAAAAGGACAGCAAAUAAAUUGGACAUUGUUUGAUGCUCUUUUCAUGGGAAGCUCUGUUCAGAAUGGCCUCUGGUGCCCUCAGCUGAUUGAAAGGGAGGCAGGUCAUGAUCCCUGUACCUGGGGCGAUGUGUCCCUGUAUCUUUCCACACUUUAUUGGUUGGGGGGGGUGGAUGGUGGGAGUGUUCAUUUCGGCAACACAAUUAUCCUGGAGAAGAUGGCGGGUACCCUGGGGACAGUUCUGUUCUCUUUGUAAUAGGCUGGGCUGCCUUGGAAUGGAUUCUGUACCUUGAAAAGCACCACAGUAUUGGGGGUGUCUCAUGAGCUCCUGUCCUUGAAAAUCCAGGGGAGAUGGUGUAAAUCUCGCGCCGGGCCGUACCCAUAUCCGCAAUAGGUCUCCAAGGCGAACCGCCUCU